CUUUCUCUCGUAUUUAAACUUCUCCAUCCACCUAGCAGCAUGUGCAAAGCCUCUCAGCUUAACGUAUUCCUGAAUUACAUAGGCAAUCGUGCUUGUUCAUGGCUAAUGUUUUUCUUCACAACUUUCUCUAAGCUGUUCUACAUUGGUCUCUGAAUCUUGUAGUAGCUGUUACAGAAGGCAUAUUAUUUCCAUUGUAGUAGCCUCCAAUAUAUUGAAUUGCUGCUAUUUCAUCUGCAGUUAUAUCUUCCUCGAUAUUUGUUGAGGCAGGUGUUGAGAUCUGCAAACUCUUCAAAGUAUUGUGUAAUAUUUGGUGUUGUUUAAAAUGAUGGAGUUUUUGGUAAUUGCUCCUUCAGUAAAGCAUUGCCAGAAUAUUUCAUAAUUUGAAGGACUGGUAAAAGGGAGUAGAGAAUGGAGCAGUUUUGUGUGGGGAAAUUUUGCCUUUGAUGUAGUAAUAGCGAUAUUGCU
Molecule: long non-coding RNA, 465 nt
Filed under: Amphimedon queenslandica
Lineage: Eukaryota; Metazoa; Porifera; Demospongiae; Haplosclerida; Niphatidae
Description: uncharacterized LOC109581105, transcript variant X2
Source: RNAcentral